AACGAACGCUGGCGGCAUGCCUAACACAUGCAAGUCGAACGAUCCCUCCGGGGAUAGUGGCGCACGGGUGCGUAACGCGUGGGAACUUGCCCUUAGGUUCGGAAUAACUCAGAGAAAUUUGAGCUAAUACCGGAUAAUGUCUUCGGACCAAAGAUUUAUCGCCUUUGGAUGGGCCCGCGUUGGAUUAGCUGGUUGGUGGGGUAAAGGCCUACCAAGGCGACGAUCCAUAGCUGGUCUGAGAGGAUGAUCAGCCACACUGGGACUGAGGCACGGCCCAGACUCCUACGGGAGGCAGCAGUGGUGAAUAUUGGACAAUGGGCGAAAGCCUGAUCCAGCAAUGGCGCGUGAGUUAUGAAGGCCUUAGGGUUGUAAAGCUCUUUUACCCGGGGUGAUAAUGACAGUACCGGGAGAAUAAGCCCCGGCUAACUCCGUG
Molecule: ribosomal RNA, 433 nt
Filed under: uncultured bacterium
Lineage: Bacteria
Description: partial 16S ribosomal RNA
Rfam family: Bacterial small subunit ribosomal RNA
Source: RNAcentral